RNAcentral lists this long non-coding RNA (595 nucleotides) under Olea europaea subsp. europaea. Lineage: Eukaryota; Viridiplantae; Streptophyta; Magnoliopsida; Lamiales; Oleaceae. The record is from RNAcentral.
CUCCGUGUCCGUGCUUGACUUGUGCGCUCUGCUUGUCCCCAUUUUAUCAUAGUGAACUUUGGCUCGUUUGGCAUAAUUUUUGUUUUUUACUUCUAAGACCUUUUCAAAGAAGCCACUUUAAUUUUUAUUUAAAAAUAAUUUUUUAAAAACACUUUAGAAAUAAAAGCCACCUCAUAUUUCAAAAAUGUUUUUAAAGAAAACCACAUUGAACCGACUUCCUCUAAAAGCUCUACUAACUGGAAGAAACACAACUAUAAAAUUAGCCAAACUAGUCUAAAAGCAGUUUUUAAAUCUCAAAAACUUCUUUUGAUUCCUCCCAGCACAGUCACAUUAUACACUUAUCCUCAACUUUUGAUUUGAAGAGUCCAUCUAUCGAUUAUUUUCAGCACGAGAAGUCUUUGCUUGAUUAUCUUAUUUCUAAUAUACUUUCAACCCAUCAAUAUUGUCCCCCUGGCAAUAGAAAUCCCAUCCUUUUUAAUGAAUUUGAGCAUCUAAGAUCCCAUCGGACGAGGCAGCAUCGGUUUAAAUUUUUAUCUCACCAUGCAUAUUACUAAUCCGAUGGCAUCUUAGCGAACAAUAUUUCAGGAAGCAAUAU